UCAAAGUAAAACUUUCAUGAGUUGUCUUGUGGCUUAUUGUUUUACAAAAAGUCAAAGAAGUUAAAACUUUGGGCCAAAUCACUGAUGCUUCCUUUCCUAUACUUUGAAAGACAAGCUUAUAUGAUGAGAUUAAUGUAACAAAUUGCUGUCAUGCAGAAAUUAAAAUGCAAUUAUUUUCAUAGCAAGUGGAUAUCUAUUUGGCAGCUAGGCCAUUCCAAUAACUUCCUUCUGAAGUAGCAUAAUAAUAAUUCUAAGUUUCUGAGUUAGCUUUUCAUGCCUUGCCCCCUGAAAAAUAGCAAAAUAUGUAAUAAUCAUAACUUUGA
Molecule: long non-coding RNA, 323 nt
Filed under: Phoenix dactylifera (date palm)
Lineage: Eukaryota; Viridiplantae; Streptophyta; Magnoliopsida; Arecales; Arecaceae
Description: long non-coding RNA (PDAC_LNC014390)
Source: RNAcentral